GACGAACGCUGGCGGCGUGCUUAACACAUGCAAGUCGAACGGAAAGGCCCUGCUUUUGUGGGGUGCUCGAGUGGCGAACGGGUGAGUAACACGUGAGUAACCUGCCCUUGACUUUGGGAUAACUUCAGGAAACUGGGGCUCAUACCGGAUAGGAGCUCCUGCUGCAUGGUGUGGGUUGGAAAGUUUCGGCGGUUGGGGCUGGUCUGGCGGCUUAUCGGCUUGUUGGUGUGGUAGUGGCUUACCAAGGCUUUGACGGGUAGCCGGCCUGGGAGGGUGACCGGCGUCCAGACGACUACGGGACGGCGCAGUAGGCUAUCGGACGCAGCAGUGGGGAAUAUUGCGGAAUGGGGGGAAGUCUGAGACAGCAACGCCGCGUGCGUGAUGACGGGUUACGGGGUGUAAACCGCUGUCGCCUGUGAUGAAGCGUGAGUGACGGUAAUGGGUAAAGAAGCAACGGCUAACUACGUG
RNAcentral lists this ribosomal RNA (468 nucleotides) under uncultured bacterium. Its description in RNAcentral is "partial 16S ribosomal RNA". It matches the Rfam family "Bacterial small subunit ribosomal RNA", at positions 28 to 507 of the family's 1533-position model. The record is from RNAcentral.